RNAcentral lists this ribosomal RNA (591 nucleotides) under Triticum aestivum (bread wheat). RNAcentral describes it as "partial small subunit ribosomal RNA". The record is from RNAcentral. Lineage: Eukaryota; Viridiplantae; Streptophyta; Magnoliopsida; Poales; Poaceae.
AUGUGGCUCCUACACGGCGUGCUCCAGAGUGUUGGAAAGUACCACCAAUUGAGUGCCUCAAAAUCAAUACAGAUGCCCAAUUCCAUGAGUUACUCGGGCAAGGGGACACUGGUCUGGUUGUGCGCGUGCGUGAUCAUACUAGGAAACUUAUUCGAGCUCAAGCACAAUGGAUCUUGGAAGAGCAUAGCAAUGCCUCUUCAGGAGAUUAAGGAGCUAUGUGGGACCUUCAUUAGCUUUUCUAUUUCUUUUGUAAGAAGAGAAGCAAAUAUGGCUACUCAUCUCAGUGCUAAGCAGGCUAGUGAGGGCGACCAGCGAUUACCAGAGUAUAUUUCCCAUAAUGCACAUGCAUCUAGAAGAAUCUAUCAAGACCAUCAUGUCAACAUAACUGCUAACGCUACUGCUGUGGAGUCACCAUUUGAUGAAGAUAAGCUCGCCUUGAAAUGGUGUGUCGCAAGGGAAUGCGACCCCAAGUACCCAGGUGAAGGCUUUAACCAACCAUGCAGCUGCUGCUUCUCGCUGCCGGGCGCCCCAUGUUGGCACACUAUGAAGGAGUGCCAGGCAAAAUGCCCAACCUGCCACCCUACAUGCUAA